AAUAGAUACCCUGGUAGUCCACGCCGUAAACGAUGAGUGCUAAGUGUUAGAGGGUUUCCGCCCUUUAGUGCUGCAGCAAACGCAUUAAGCACUCCGCCUGGGGAGUACGGUCGCAAGACUGAAACUCAAAGGAAUUGACGGGGGCCCGCACAAGCGGUGGAGCAUGUGGUUUAAUUCGAAGCAACGCGAAGAACCUUACCAGGUCUUGACAUCCUCUGGCAACCCUAGAGAUAGGGCUUCCCCUUCGGGGGCAGAGCGACAGGUGGUGCAUGGUUGUCGUCAGCUCGUGUCGUGAGAUGUUGGGUUAAGUCCCGCAACGAGCGCAACCCUUGAUCUUAGUUGCCAGCAUUCAGUUGGGCACUCUAAGGUGACUGCCGGUGACAAACCGGAGGAAGGUGGGGAUGACGUCAAAUCAUCAUGCCCCUUAUGACCUGGGCUACACACGUGCUACAAUGGGCAGAACAAAGGGCAGCGAAGCCGCGAGGCUAAGCCAAUCCCACAAAUCUGUUCUCAGUUCGGAUCG
This 523-nucleotide ribosomal RNA is filed under the name uncultured bacterium. Its description in RNAcentral is "bacterial SSU rRNA". It matches the Rfam family "Bacterial small subunit ribosomal RNA", at positions 777 to 1300 of the family's 1533-position model. The record is from RNAcentral.